UUCCUUCUAUGACAAGGACCCUGAUUCGACACGGCUGCCCAUGUUCCCAGCUCCAGGAGAUAAACGAAGUCAAACCUAAGCCACUCAUGACAAAUUUGUCUCCUGUGUAAUUGGUCUAGGCACAAGCACAUGACCCAUUUAUAGACAAUGAGACAGGCCCUUGUUGAAUUAGAACACUGCUGCUAAAAUUGAAAGCAUGGUA
Molecule: long non-coding RNA, 202 nt
Filed under: Homo sapiens (human)
Lineage: Eukaryota; Metazoa; Chordata; Mammalia; Primates; Hominidae
Description: HSALNT0196839
Source: RNAcentral